AGUAAUACAUAAGUAACCUGCCCUAGACAGGGGGAGUAACUAUUGGAAACGAUAGCUAAGACCGCAUAGGUACGGACACUGCAUGGUGACCGUAUUAAAAGUGCCUCAAAGCACUGGUAGAGGAUGGACUUAUGGCGCAUUAGCUGGUUGGCGGGGUAACGGCCCACCAAGGCGACGAUGCGUAGCCGACCUGAGAGGGUGACCGGCCACACUGGGACUGAGACACGGUCCAG
This 233-nucleotide ribosomal RNA is filed under the name uncultured bacterium. Its description in RNAcentral is "partial 16S ribosomal RNA". It matches the Rfam family "Bacterial small subunit ribosomal RNA", at positions 109 to 334 of the family's 1533-position model. The record is from RNAcentral.